This 244-nucleotide ribosomal RNA is filed under the name uncultured bacterium. RNAcentral's name for it is "partial 16S ribosomal RNA". The record is from RNAcentral.
CUGCUGCCUUCCGUAGGAGUCUGGGCCGUGUCUCAGUCCCAAUGUGGCCGGCCAACCUCUCAGUCCCCCUAUGUAUCGUCGCCUUGGUGAGCCGUUACCUCACCAACCAGCUAAUACAACGCAUGCCCAUCAUCAACCACCGGAGUUUUCAACCCCAUGCGAUGCCGCAUGAGAUAUUAUGGGGUAUUAGUACCAAUUUCUCAGUGUUAUCCCCCUGUUGAUGGUAGGUUGCAUACGCGUUACG